AUUUUAAUUAGUUACAUAGUAUAUAUACAUGUAAUGAUCCAUAAUUCUUUCAACCCAAUCCUAACCAUAAUAAAUGACAUCCUCCAUCUGAAGCAUUAAAAUGGAAAGACAAUUUCACCAUCAAGUCUCUUGAGCAUUUCAUCAAACAUGUACAUUGCCAAGAAAAAUUAUGAGGUUGUGCUGAGAAAAUCCAAAUUUUUUUGGUGCGAUAUACAUCAAGCCCACCCUGCCCUUCCUCCUCGAGCGCCGCUGGCUGGUAAAUCCAUAACCAUCGCCGUUAGGUUCGAUAUAUAUUGAAGGAUGACAAGUUGUACGCUAGCCUAGCUAGCCUUUGAUGAAUUGUGA
RNAcentral lists this long non-coding RNA (345 nucleotides) under Panax ginseng (ginseng). RNAcentral's name for it is "long non-coding RNA (PGIN_LNC007552)". The record is from RNAcentral. Lineage: Eukaryota; Viridiplantae; Streptophyta; Magnoliopsida; Apiales; Araliaceae.